CCUGAGAAGUGGGGAACAAGGAAGCAUAUCAAGGCCGGCUUGAGGCAGGGUGGCCCGGGGGAGCCCCUGCCCUGGGCCUCAGCCUGGGUGACAGAGCGAGACUCCGAGAAAGAAAGAAAGGAAGAAAGAAAAGAAAGAAGGCACUCCGUGCUCUGCAGAAGAUGCCUGCCAGGAGUCCUAUUCUCCACCCAGCCAGGCCUCAUGGCCAUCUACACACUGACCCAACUCUUCACUGCUGGACUUCUACCCAGCAUCUUACAGAACAAAAGAUCGGCGGGGCACAGUGGCUCAUACCUGUAAUCCCAGCACUUUGGGAGGCCUAAGCAGGCUGGUCGCUUGA
RNAcentral lists this long non-coding RNA (340 nucleotides) under Homo sapiens (human). RNAcentral describes it as "HSALNT0350726". The record is from RNAcentral. Lineage: Eukaryota; Metazoa; Chordata; Mammalia; Primates; Hominidae.